UUUGUGUUUGUUCUUGGUGGAUUGUUUCUUGGAAAAUUCUGAGUAGGAAAGAAUGUGGAUUGAGACAAAUUUGCAAUUGGUAUAGAAUGAUCUGGCUUCUUGAAACGAUUUAACAUAUCCUCAUAUGCAAUUAACUAAGAUUCAGCUUCAAUAAUUGUGAUUCUUCCCAUUUUUGCCUUAAUAGUGCCAAUAUAACUUUGGUACUCUUUUGUUAAGCCAUCUAAAAUAGCCUGAAUAUGAUCAUCAUCAGAGAAUGGUGAAUCUAGGGCAAUCAAAGAAUCCACCAAUUA
RNAcentral lists this long non-coding RNA (290 nucleotides) under Arachis ipaensis. RNAcentral's name for it is "long non-coding RNA (AIPA_LNC000333)". Lineage: Eukaryota; Viridiplantae; Streptophyta; Magnoliopsida; Fabales; Fabaceae. The record is from RNAcentral.